RNAcentral lists this unclassified non-coding RNA (253 nucleotides) under uncultured Caldilineaceae bacterium. RNAcentral describes it as "contains 16S-23S intergenic spacer region". It matches the Rfam family "Bacterial small subunit ribosomal RNA", at positions 524 to 776 of the family's 1533-position model. The record is from RNAcentral. Lineage: Bacteria; Bacillati; Chloroflexota; Caldilineae; Caldilineales; Caldilineaceae.
CACGUAGGUGACAAACGUUAUCCGGAAUUACUGGGCGUAAAGCGCACGCAGGCGGUUGGUCAAGUUCGGCGUGAAAGCUCUCGGCUUAACCGGGAGAGGUCGUUGAAAACUGACUGGCUUGAGGUCAUGAGAGGGGUGUGGAAUUCCAGGUGUAGUGGUGGAAUGCGUAGAUAUCUGGAGGAACACCAGUGGCGAAAGCGACACCCUGGCAUGGACCUGACGCUCAGGUGCGAAAGCGUGGGGAGCAAACGGG